UUCGUUUGGGAGGGUGAGGCUCCGACACAGAUUGCACGUCAAAUCGUGACGCACAAACUUAAUGUCGACCCAUCUAUCCUAGCUCGUCGCCAAAAGCGUCGAGUGCUCACCUCUGACAGGCGGGAGGCCGCCAACGAAGAGAUAUCGAAACUUCUGAAUGCCGGGCACAUUCGAGAAGUUCGAUAUCCAACUUGGUUGGCCAACCCCAU
Molecule: long non-coding RNA, 209 nt
Filed under: Zostera marina
Lineage: Eukaryota; Viridiplantae; Streptophyta; Magnoliopsida; Alismatales; Zosteraceae
Description: long non-coding RNA (ZMAR_LNC001827)
Source: RNAcentral